ACCCGCACAAGCAGCGGAGCGUGUUGGUUUUAAUUCGUUGCUACACGAAGAACCUUACCUGGGUUUGACAUAUAGGUUGUAGGGAACUGAAAAGGGACCGACCCUUCGGGGAGCCUAUACAGGUGUUGCAUGGCUGUCGUCGGCUCGUGUCGUGAGAUGUUCGGUUAAGUCCGCUAACGAGCGCAACCCUCGUCGUAUGUUAUAUGUGUCAUACGAGACUGCCGGUAAAAAGCCGGAGGAAGGUGAGGAUGAUGUCAAGUCAUCAUGGCCCUUAUGUCCAGGGCUACACACGUGCUACAAUGGUCGGUACAAAGGGCAGCGACAUUGCGAGAUGGAGCGAAUCCCGAAAAGCCGGUCUCAGUCCGGAUUGGAGUCUGCAACUCGACUCCAUGAAGUUGGAAUCGCUAGUAAUCGCGGAUCAGCAUGCCGCGGUGAAUACGUUCCCGGGCCUU
RNAcentral lists this ribosomal RNA (452 nucleotides) under uncultured Anaerolineaceae bacterium. RNAcentral describes it as "bacterial SSU rRNA". It matches the Rfam family "Bacterial small subunit ribosomal RNA", at positions 919 to 1382 of the family's 1533-position model. Lineage: Bacteria; Bacillati; Chloroflexota; Anaerolineae; Anaerolineales; Anaerolineaceae. The record is from RNAcentral.